Molecule: non-coding RNA, 246 nt
Filed under: Komagataeibacter medellinensis
Lineage: Bacteria; Pseudomonadati; Pseudomonadota; Alphaproteobacteria; Acetobacterales; Acetobacteraceae
Source: RNAcentral
GCAAGCCUUUAUGUCGGUGGUGCCGCGCAAGCGGAGUAAUAGGGAAUACCGUAAGCUCUGGCGGGAUCUGUAAUGAUCCGGGAGCCAGUCGGUGGCUGCGCCCGCAACUGUAGGCGGUAUGUAGACGGAUCCAAUCAUCUGAUAUUCAGUCAGAUGGGUCACUGCUUCCAGUAAGGGAAGUGGGAAGACAGGACCGAACUGCCAUGAUCCGUGAGCCAGGAAACCUGCUACCGUCGCAAACCGUGC